RNAcentral lists this ribosomal RNA (488 nucleotides) under uncultured bacterium. RNAcentral's name for it is "partial 16S ribosomal RNA". It matches the Rfam family "Bacterial small subunit ribosomal RNA", at positions 28 to 507 of the family's 1533-position model. The record is from RNAcentral.
GACGAACGCUGGCGGCGUGCUUAACACAUGCAAGUCGAACGGAAAGGACUAUUACGGGGAAUACCCGAGUAGAGAACACGUGAGUAUAGGGGCAGAAGGGUGACUAACGCGUGGGCAAACUACCUCUAACAAGGGGAUAUACCCGGGAAGCCGUGCUUAAUACCAGAUGACACUUUCAUAAUUCAGCUGAAGGGUGUUAAAGCUACGGCGGUAAGCGUUGGGCUGGGGUCCCAUUAGCCAGUUGGUGUGGUAGCGGCCCACCAAGGCGACGACGGGUAACCGGCCUGGGAGGGUGACCGGCCACAUUGGGACUGGGAUACGGCCCAGACUCCUACGGGAGGCAGCAGUGGGGAAUAUUGCACAAGGGGUGGAAGCCUGAUGCAGCAACGCCGUGUGCGGGAUGACGGCCUUGGGGUUGGAAACCGAUUUCGCUCUUGAAUAAGAUUUGUGUGACGGUAGUGGGUAAAGAAGCACCGGCUAACUACGUG